CACCCGGGAUCAGCAGCUGUCCUCCCGGCUGAGGAGCCAGACCCUGCCCGCCAGCAGCCCGGCACUGCAGCACCUGAGGCCCCCCAGCUCCACGCGUCUCACAGCGCUGCUGCUGCACCAGGAGCCGCAGCAACCCAGCACGGCAGCGCUGCUCGGCAGCACGCUACGAAGGAGGGUGGAGAAGACGAAAUGCAAACAAAAGCCACAAGCAACUUCAGCUACUCUAUCAAUGGUAGCAACUGCACCAGCGAUAACAGAAUCAGACAGGUCAUCUUCCCCUUGCUUUAUACUCUUCUCUUCCUGGUGGGCCUCACUAUGAAUGGCCUGGCAACGUGGAUCUUCUUCAAAAUAUCAAGUAAAUCCAAUUUCAUCAUCUUCCUCAAGAAUACUGUCAUUUCUGACAUCCUCAUGAUUCUGACUUUUCCAUUUAAAAUCCUCAGCGACGCACAGUUGGUACCGUGGGUGCUGAGAGGAUUCGUGUGCCAGGUCAGCCAGGUCGUGUUUUACUUCACCAUGUACAUCAGCAUCUUGUUCCUCGGGCUGAUAACCAUCGACCGCUAUCAGAAAGCCACCUCGCCAUUCAGAACAUCAACCACAAGGAGCCUUCGAGGCGCCAAGAUCCUCUCCAUGGCUAUUUGGAUAUCGAUGUUUACUCUUUCAUUACCCAACAUGAUUCUAACAAACAAGAAAAAAACACCUAAGAACGUAAAAAAGUGUGCCCUCUUGAAAUCUGAGUUUGGCUUAGUCUGGCAUGAAAUCGUAAACUACAUCUGCCAACUUAUCUUCUGGGUUAAUUUAGCAGUCAUAGUUGUAUGCUACAUACUUAUAAGCAAAGAAUUGUAUAAGUCCUAUCAGAGGACAAGAUCCACGGGAAGACCAUCCAGAAAAUCUGUAAAUCUGAAGGUUUUCAUCAUAAUCGCAGUGUUCUUUAUAUGUUUUGCACCAUUCCACUUUACCAGAAUUCCCUACACUUUGAGCCAAACAAGAAAUGUUUUUGACUGCUCUGCAGUGAACACCCUGUUUUACUUAAAGGAGAGCACGCUGUGGCUGACAUCGCUGAACGCUUGCCUAGAUCCAUUCAUUUACUUCUUCCUUUGCAAGUCGUUUCGAAAGUCCUUGCUAGGCAUGCUGUGCAAGGCCACCGCAUCGCCAGAACUCGGAGCACAGACAGCAGGGCAGAACGGAGGAGACGACACUGAGGAUACCCCACUUUAGCACAAAGGACCUGCCACAGCCCUGCCUGGCCACGUACGUUUCCCUGGGGUUGGGGAGCAGAAGGAUCCUGCUAAGGCUAACCACAAUUUCACCUGCGCCUUCACAAUCUGCCCUGCAGAUGAAACACAGAUCCAUGGAACCAACAUCGCCAGUUGCAGGAAGGACAAAAAUUAGAACAACUGAAUACAACAAGGGCACCAUCUGCUCACAGGCUCCACGUCUGACGGAGUUGCUGGGAAAAAGUUUGAAUUUAUAGCUGGAGCUGUAAGAAAAAAAUAAACCAGAGUCACAGAAUGCUACUGAACAGAAGAUGAGCUGCAGAGAUUUUGCAGAAGCAGCUUAACUUGGGCCAGGGGAAAGCCCAUGACAACAAAGGAAUGGAUGUAAAUAAACCCCAUAACAAAUGCAGCUUUUCAGUACGGGAAGUUGCCACUUAGUAUGCAAUCAUCAGACAAACAGAAAUGCAGCACAUCUGUAGUCUACUUUGAGAAUUGGAGACUUUGCAAACCAGAGUACCAGCAGUGGCUCCAGCAGAGCGCCCAGCUCUGCACCGUGACACCACAGCCACCCACCGGCUCUUCCCAGCGCUCUGCACGCUCGGCUUCCUGCUGGACUCACACUGAACAGCCUGGCCAUAUGGGCUUUCUUCCAUACUCCAAGUACAUCGACUUUCAUUGUCUACCUGAACAAUAACUUAGUA
Molecule: RNA transcript, 1915 nt
Organism: Lagopus leucura (white-tailed ptarmigan)
Lineage: Eukaryota; Metazoa; Chordata; Aves; Galliformes; Phasianidae
Gene: P2RY12
Gene name: purinergic receptor P2Y12
Exons: 3
Source: RefSeq, a predicted model, not a curated record